GAACGCGUUGGCCCAAUUGAUUGAUGGUGCUUGCACCUGAUUGAUUUUGGUCGCCAACGAGUGGCGGACGGGUGAGUAACACGUAGGUAACCUGCCCAGAAGCGGGGGACAACAUUUGGAAACAGAUGCUAAUACCGCAUAACAACGUUGUUCGCAUGAACAACGCUUAAAAGAUGGCUUCUCGCUAUCACUUCUGGAUGGACCUGCGGUGCAUUAGCUUGUUGGUGGGGUAACGGCCUACCAAGGCGAUGAUGCAUAGCCGAGUUGAGAGACUGAUCGGCCACAAUGGGACUGAGACACGGCCCAUACUCCUACGGGAGGCAGCAGUAGGGAAUCUUCCACAAUGGGCGCAAGCCUGAUGGAGCAACACCGCGUGAGUGAAGAAGGGUUUCGGCUCGUAAAGCUCUGUUGUUAAAGAAGAACACGUAUGAGAGUAACUGUUCAUACGUUGACGGUAUUUAACCAGAAAGUCACGGCUAACUACGUGCCAGCAGCCGCGGUAAUACGUAGGUGGCAAGCGUUAUCCGGAUUUAUUGGGCGUAAAGAGAGUGCAGGCGGUUUUCUAAGUCUGAUGUGAAAGCCUUCGGCUUAACCGGAGAAGUGCAUCGGAAACUGGAUAACUUGAGUGCAGAAGAGGGUAGUGGAACUCCAUG
RNAcentral lists this ribosomal RNA (653 nucleotides) under Limosilactobacillus fermentum. RNAcentral describes it as "bacterial SSU rRNA". It matches the Rfam family "Bacterial small subunit ribosomal RNA", at positions 31 to 673 of the family's 1533-position model. Lineage: Bacteria; Bacillati; Bacillota; Bacilli; Lactobacillales; Lactobacillaceae. The record is from RNAcentral.